Molecule: long non-coding RNA, 628 nt
Organism: Epinephelus moara (kelp grouper)
Lineage: Eukaryota; Metazoa; Chordata; Actinopteri; Perciformes; Serranidae
Exons: 4
Source: RefSeq, a predicted model, not a curated record
UGGCAGUAUAGAGACCUGUGGGUGAGCCUGCCUAAUUAGCAACACCACAGCCAACCACCAGAGGCGCACCCUCCUAUAAAAGGGGUCGAUCCCCCCCCUGCCGGUUCUCUCUCGCUGCUCCUGACGGUGACGUCACUUCCGGGUCGGACCUUUGUGCUUGGACAGAACGGCUGACUUGGGGCUUUCAGAGACUCCUGUGUGUGUGUGUCACCUAGAUGGCCUGCUGCGGUGAAGGCCGGUAGCUGUGCGAUUCUCUCCCUCUACUCUGCUGUGUGUCAUACCCAGCCGACCCGGCUAAUCGUUGCUGAGGUCCGGUGGUGGUGGUGACCUGGUGGCGGGGUUCCCCCCCUUCUCGUGUGCUGUGCUUCCCUGGGUUCUGGGUCUCCUCACUGAGUGUGUGCUGUGUGUGACUGUCACGUGUGCCUGGGUGUUUAUAUUUUUGGUUGGGGAUUCUCCGCAUCAGUCAGUAGCCCACGCACCCCAGUAAGCCUCAGCUUUAAUUUAGUUUCCCCCGUUAAUUUGUUCCUGUGUGAAUGGUGUUCUCAGUGUUUUAAACUGUGUUUGUUAAAAUAAAGAAUAUGUUCUUUUGAAUGGAAACGUGUCUCCUCGCCUUUGAGUAAAACGAACU